This 73-nucleotide transfer RNA is filed under the name Diaphorina citri (Asian citrus psyllid). It matches the Rfam family "tRNA". From Rfam's summary of the family: Transfer RNA (tRNA) molecules are approximately 80 nucleotides in length. Their secondary structure includes four short double-helical elements and three loops (D, anti-codon, and T loops). Further hydrogen bonds mediate the characteristic L-shaped molecular structure. tRNAs have two regions of fundamental functional importance: the anti-codon, which is responsible for specific mRNA codon recognition, and the 3' end, to which the tRNAs corresponding amino acid is attached (by aminoacyl-tRNA synthetases). tRNAs cope with the degeneracy of the genetic code in two manners: having more than one tRNA (with a specific anti-codon) for a particular amino acid; and 'wobble' base-pairing, i.e. permitting non-standard base-pairing at the 3rd anti-codon position. The record is from Rfam by way of RNAcentral. Lineage: Eukaryota; Metazoa; Arthropoda; Insecta; Hemiptera; Psyllidae.
GCCUAGUUAGCUUGGUUGGUAGCGCGUCUGCCUUGUAAGAACUAGGCCGCGGGUUCGAUUCCCGCACGGGGCG